UACGUAGGGUGCAAGCGUUGUCCGGAAUUAUUGGGCGUAAAGAGCUCGUAGGCGGUCUGUCGCGUCUGCUGUGAAAACUCGGGGCUUAACCUCGGGCCUGCAGUGGGUACGGGCAGACUAGAGUGCGGUAGGGGAGACUGGAAUUCCUGGUGUAGCGGUGAAAUGCGCAGAUAUCAGGAGGAACACCGGUGGCGAAGGCGGGUCUCUGGGCCGUAACUGACGCUGAGGAGCGAAAGCAUGGGGAGCGAACAGG
This 253-nucleotide ribosomal RNA is filed under the name uncultured bacterium. RNAcentral describes it as "partial 16S ribosomal RNA". It matches the Rfam family "Bacterial small subunit ribosomal RNA", at positions 524 to 776 of the family's 1533-position model. The record is from RNAcentral.